GUCGCUUUAGCUCACUUGGGAGAGCGCCAGACUGAAGUUGUCAGUCACAAAAUCUGGAGGUACUGUGUUCGAUCCACAGAAGCGACA
This 87-nucleotide transfer RNA is filed under the name Epicoccum nigrum. RNAcentral's name for it is "partial tRNA-Phe". It matches the Rfam family "tRNA". Rfam says of the family: Transfer RNA (tRNA) molecules are approximately 80 nucleotides in length. Their secondary structure includes four short double-helical elements and three loops (D, anti-codon, and T loops). Further hydrogen bonds mediate the characteristic L-shaped molecular structure. tRNAs have two regions of fundamental functional importance: the anti-codon, which is responsible for specific mRNA codon recognition, and the 3' end, to which the tRNAs corresponding amino acid is attached (by aminoacyl-tRNA synthetases). tRNAs cope with the degeneracy of the genetic code in two manners: having more than one tRNA (with a specific anti-codon) for a particular amino acid; and 'wobble' base-pairing, i.e. permitting non-standard base-pairing at the 3rd anti-codon position. Lineage: Eukaryota; Fungi; Ascomycota; Dothideomycetes; Pleosporales; Didymellaceae. The record is from RNAcentral.